This 468-nucleotide ribosomal RNA is filed under the name uncultured bacterium. RNAcentral describes it as "partial 16S ribosomal RNA". It matches the Rfam family "Bacterial small subunit ribosomal RNA", at positions 28 to 507 of the family's 1533-position model. The record is from RNAcentral.
GAUGAACGCUGACAGAAUGCUUAACACAUGCAAGUCUACUUGAAUUUGGGUUUUUUCACUUAGAUUUGGGUGGCGGACGGGUGAGUAACGCGUAAAGAACUUGCCUCACAGUUAGGGACAACAUUUGGAAACGAAUGCUAAUACCUGAUAUUAUGAAUAUAUGGCAUCAUAUAAUUAUGAAAGCUAUAAGCGCUGUGAGAGAGCUUUGCGUCCCAUUAGCUAGUUGGAGAGGUAACGGCUCACCAAGGCGAUGAUGGGUAGCCGGCCUGAGAGGGUGAACGGCCACAAGGGGACUGAGACACGGCCCUUACGCCUACGGGAGGCAGCAGUGGGGAAUAUUGAACAAUGGACCAAGAGUCUGAUCCAGCAAUUCUGUGUGCACGAUGACGUUUUUCGGAAUGUAAAGUGCUUUCAGUUGGGAAGAAAAAAAUGACGGUACCAACAGAAGAAGUGACGGCUAAAUACGUG